AACGAACGCUGGCGGCAUGCCUAACACAUGCAAGUCGAACGAGAACUUCGGGCCUAGUGGCGCCCGGAUGCGCAAAGGGUGGAAUAAUGCCCUUAGGUUCGGCAUAACUCUCCGAAAGAGGUGCUAAUACCUGAUUAUAUCUCCGGACCAAAGCUUUAUCGACUGUGGUUGGGCGCGCGUUGGAUGAGCGAGUUGGUAGGGUAAAAGCCUACCAAGGCGACGAGCCAUAGCUGGGCUGAGAGGAUGCACAGCCACACUGGGACUGGGACACGGCCCAGACUCGUGCGGGAGGCAGCAGUGGGGAAUAUAGGACCAUGGGCGAAAGGCUGAUCCAGCAAUGCCGGGUGAGUGAUGAAGGCCUUAUAGUUGUAUAGCUCUAUUAACCAGGAUGAUUAUGACAGUACCUAGAGAAUAAGCUCCGGCUAACUACGUG
This 433-nucleotide ribosomal RNA is filed under the name uncultured bacterium. RNAcentral's name for it is "partial 16S ribosomal RNA". It matches the Rfam family "Bacterial small subunit ribosomal RNA", at positions 29 to 507 of the family's 1533-position model. The record is from RNAcentral.